GUUGCCCCCUUCACUUUACCAAUAAGACAUGUGUCUUCAUUGGUCAUUCAAGUGGGGUAGAGUAAAGUAUCCUUUUAUAAACCCAAGUAUACUGUAUUUUACUUGGUUUCUACCACAGGGGACAUUU
Hypanus sabinus (Atlantic stingray) is the source of this 127-nucleotide small nucleolar RNA. RefSeq annotates it as small nucleolar RNA SNORA27. The transcript has a single exon. The record is from RefSeq and is a predicted model, not a curated record. Lineage: Eukaryota; Metazoa; Chordata; Chondrichthyes; Myliobatiformes; Dasyatidae.